RNAcentral lists this transfer RNA (76 nucleotides) under Staphylococcus aureus. RNAcentral describes it as "tRNA-Thr". It matches the Rfam family "tRNA". Rfam says of the family: Transfer RNA (tRNA) molecules are approximately 80 nucleotides in length. RNAcentral also lists the same sequence under 1 other name. The record is from RNAcentral. Lineage: Bacteria; Bacillati; Bacillota; Bacilli; Caryophanales; Staphylococcaceae.
GCCGGCCUAGCUCAAUUGGUAGAGCAACUGACUUGUAAUCAGUAGGUUGGGGGUUCAAGACCUCUGGCCGGCACCA